RNAcentral lists this ribosomal RNA (509 nucleotides) under uncultured bacterium. Its description in RNAcentral is "bacterial SSU rRNA". It matches the Rfam family "Bacterial small subunit ribosomal RNA", at positions 54 to 529 of the family's 1533-position model. The record is from RNAcentral.
CAUGCAAGUCGAACGGGAAGAGAUGAAGAGCUUGCUCUUUAUCGAAUCCAGUGGCAAACGGGUGAGUAACACGUAAACAACCUGCCUUCAGGAUGGGGACAACAGACGGAAACGACUGCUAAUACCGAAUACGUUCCACGGGCCGCAUGACCUGUGGAAGAAAGGGUAGCCUCUACCUGUAAGCUAUCGCCUGAAGAGGGGUUUGCGUCUGAUUAGGCAGUUGGUGAGGUAACGGCUCACCAAACCAACGAUCAGUAGCCGGUCUGAGAGGAUGAACGGCCACACUGGAACUGAGACACGGUCCAGACUCCUACGGGAGGCAGCAGUGGGGAAUCUUCCGCAAUGGACGAAAGUCUGACGGAGCAACGCCGCGUGAGUGAAGACGGCCUUCGGGUUGUAAAGCUCUGUGAUCCGGGACGAAAGAGCCUGAGGUAAAUAGCCUGAGGAAGUGACGGUACCGGAAAAGCAAGCCACGGCUAACUACGUGCCAGCAGCCGCGGUAAUACGUA